GUCUAAUUGGCCGAUUUUUCUCCGGCUUCUCUUCUCCAUCCCGUCUCUUGGAAUUUCUUGGCACGCCCUACCUGAGAUCCCCUACGGGAGAUUUCCUCUUGGCUCCUGCGGUUCUGAGGACGUUCUGAAAAGUUCCCAAGCCCCACCUUUGGUAGCUGCCCAGACCCCAGCUUCCAAUUCUUCCCUCUUCUUUGCACAGGUGCUGUUGUAGGAGCAAGGGAUACAAUGAUGAUCAAGGCAGAUGCAGCCGUUACCUUCAGGUUGUGGAGUCCGGAUACAGACUGGAGGCAGGCAGCUGUAAGAUGUGUGAGAAAUGCUGCGCUGGAUCAGCCCAUGGUAUUAGGAGAGCAGGCUUCGGUAGAUUGCAAAUGACCUGCUUUCUUUCGGAUCCCGGGCUGCUUUCGGACACCUGUCGAAUAGUAAAUCCCAAGUAAGGUACCUGCGGUCGUCGGCAGAUCUGAAUUUUCUUCUUGGACACCUAAUACCCACAGUCCUCCAGAGACCGAGAGGUUGAUGUCACUCCCAAUAUCGGAGGAAGUAUACACCCCCGUGUGAGAUGGUCCUUAAUAAUAUUCCACGGCGGAGGGGGUGAUAUGACUACAUACAUGGCAGAAAGUGGAAACCUCCCAGGGAUAUUGUUCCCACGAUCCUGGAGGGAAGAAGAUGAUGUUACUUUCAAUAUGACAGAAGGUGGAUGAAGUGGUGGACUGCCCCUCCACACCUGUGGACACGCCCCCACUGAUAUUCCUUCUAAUUGCAGCGUGGGAGAGGAGGAUAUGACACGCGAUAUCGCAGGGAGUAGAAACACCCCUGUGAUACUGUUCUUAAUAUUCAGGGAGGAAGAGGAUGAUAUUACUCCCAAUACAGACGGGUGUACACCCUCUGUACACCGAGGGUGUACACCUGUCUGUGAAAGAGUUCGUAAUCUCCAGAGGGGGAGAUGAUAUUACUCACAAUAUGGUAAAGAGGCUGUGAGUCCACGGAGGAUCCUCAGAGCCAGCGGGGGAAGAGGGGCUGGCUCUCAGUCCCCGCCUCGCGGGGGUGACUCCCCCCAGUGCGAUGGGGGUCCUAAGAGCCAGUGGGGGAAGAGGGGCUGGCUCUGAGACCCCGCCUCGCGGGGGGUGCCUCCCCGCCCUGUGAUGGGGGUCCGAAGAGCCAGAAGGCUUAGAGGGGCUGGCUCUCAGUCCCCGCCUCGCGGGGGGUGCCUCCUCCCCCUGCGAUGGGGGUCGUAAGAGCCACUGGGGGAAUAGGGGCUUGCUCUCAGUCACCGCCUCGCGGGGGGUGCCUCCUUUCCUUUCUACAUAGACACAGUGACAGUCUGAUCUCUCUUUCUUUUCCCUACAGAUGGACACGCCCCCACUGAUAUUGUUUUUAAUGCAGCGUGGGAGGGGAGGAUAUGACACGCGAUAUCGCAGGUAGUAGAAACACCCCUUUGAUAGUGUUCUUAAUAUUCAGGGAGGAAGAAGAUGAUGUUACUCCCAAUACAGACGGAUGUACACCCUCUGUACACCGAGGGUGUACACCCGUCUGUGAAGGAGUUCGUAAUCUCCAGAGGUGGAGAUGAUAUUACUCACAAUAUGGUAAACAGGCUGUGAGUCCAUCGCGGAUCCUCAGAGCCAGGUGGGGAAGAGGGGCUGGCUGUCAGUCCCCUCCUCGCGGGGGGUGCCUCCCCCACUGCUAUGGGGAUCCCAAGAGCCAGUGGGGGAAGAGGUGCUGGCUCUCAGUCUCCGCCUCGCGAGGUGCCUCCCCACCCUGCGAUCGGGGUCCGAAGAGCCAGGGGGGAAGAGGGGCUGGCUCUCUUCGUGGAUGAUUCUUUUUCCAUUCUCAGGCAGUUUUCUUUUUUCUUUCUUUCUUUUUUUUUUUUUUUGAGACUGAGUCUUGCUCUGUUGCCCAUGCUUUGCUCGAUCUCGGGUGACUGCAACCACUGCCUCCCAGGUUCAAGAGAUUCUCCUGCCUCAGCCUCCUGAGUAGCUGGGACUAGAGGCGUGUGUCACCACACCCAGCUAAUUUUUGUAUUUUUAGUAGAGAUGGGGUUUCACCAUGUUUGCCAGGAUGGUCUCUAUCUCCUGCCCUUGUGAUCCACCCACCUCAGCCUCCCAAAGUGCUGGGAUUGCAGGUGCGAGCCACCGGGUCCAGCCUCUCAGGCGAUUUUCAUACCUGCAUACUCUGGUCACUACUCUGUUAAACAGUCAAGGAGGCUGAGUGCCACGUGCUGACGUCACUAAGAUCAAUACAGCAAACUCUGAAAGAUGGACAGAGAGACAGGAGAUGGUCCUUUAUAAUGCAGUGUGAUCUGUGCUGCAAUAGAGUUUUGGAAGCUAGAAGUUCAAAACGAGGUGUUGGCAGCACCAUGCUCUCUCUGAAGAUGCUAGGAAGAAUCUGCUCCAUGCCUUUCCAUUCGCUUCUGGGGUUUCCUGCAAGCCCUGACAUUCCUUGGCUUGUAGAUGCAUCACCCCAGUUUCCGCCCCCAUCAUCACAUGGCCUCCUCUCUGUGUGUGCCUCUGCGUUCCCUCUAUUCUUCUUCUAAGGACACCGACACCAGUCAUAGUGGAUUAAGUGUCCACUCCUAACCAAUUACAUCUGCAACAACCCUAUUUCCAAAUAAAGU
Molecule: long non-coding RNA, 2608 nt
Filed under: Homo sapiens (human)
Lineage: Eukaryota; Metazoa; Chordata; Mammalia; Primates; Hominidae
Description: HSALNT0352075
Source: RNAcentral